Long non-coding RNA from Phragmites australis (common reed), 931 nucleotides. RefSeq lists it as uncharacterized. NCBI's taxonomy places the organism in Eukaryota, Viridiplantae, Streptophyta, Magnoliopsida, Poales, Poaceae. The transcript is spliced from 2 exons. The record is from RefSeq and is a predicted model, not a curated record.
CAACUCCAAAAGAAACGUUAUCACCCAUGCUAUUUUAAUUUUUAGCUAGAAGGAUCAAAAACCGGUCUUCAACAGACACGCUACCGCCCUUGCUAUUUUGGCUCACACUUCAUCCCGCUCCUCCUACACGCCAAAUCUGGCAUGUCUCGCCCCCACGCCAUUCCCCAACCGCCGCUCUGCCCCGUUCGCUCCCGCAACCAUCCGGACUCUGCGUCCCCUGUUCCUCUUCCUUCUCCCCGAGCACAUCUCCGAGCCACACCGCCAUAGCCAGGGCCACCCCUCAUCUCCUGCCUCUAUCAAAAAAUCCAAGCCGCCCCUUCCUAUCUCAAUCCAGUUCAAAUCGCUGCCGCAAAUGAGUUGAACCCUCGUUCUUCCUUCUUGGGGGAUAAGUGUGUGUGUGUUUCUUCCCAUUUUUCAUUGUAGAUUUCUUUGAUGUUCGUUCGAUUUGUUGUUCUUCAUGAGGAUCAUGUGUAAAAUACGGUAUAUAUGCUAAUUUUGCCGAUCCUUUCUGCAGUUUGAGGAACAACAUCUAGCAAUUUCGGGAUUUGUCACAACACCAUCAAAGUGAACUGGUAAAUUCUUUCUUUCUUGCAGCUUUAAUGCAUUUCAUACUGCGGCGAAGCAGGGCCAUAUGGGUUAGUUUUAUUUCUUUCAUCAUUACUUAUAAUUUAUUGAAUUUGAUCCUGGUGAGUUCUAUGUGCCAAGUUCAUUAGUUGAUUAUUAGGCUAAUGUAGAUUGGAAUUCUUUAAUAUGUGGAUUCGAUGGCUUGUGCUUGCAGUUCGGUGUGACCAUUCAUAUUGGUUUAUUUGUGCGUGCAGCUGGUAUGUUUAUAAAAAUUGACUUGUAUCCCAUUGACUUCUGCAAAUCUCUGUGAUCAUGGAUGCUCAUCUUGUGCAACAUGAGGCUGGAGUAGACUUGAGGCCAAAAACAA